Tachysurus fulvidraco (yellow catfish) is the source of this 1061-nucleotide long non-coding RNA. RefSeq lists it as uncharacterized. Lineage: Eukaryota; Metazoa; Chordata; Actinopteri; Siluriformes; Bagridae. The record is from RefSeq and is a predicted model, not a curated record. The transcript is spliced from 2 exons.
AUUGUGGUUCCCAGGAAUCUGAAUGACUCCACUGCUGUCACAAUGCUGUCCAUGAUGGGACAAUAUGGUCUUUAUGAGCAGAGCUGCGCUCCAAGGCAAAAACAUUGUUCAGCAGUAAAACAUUCUGAAACCAAAACCACAUGUUCCAAAGUGCAGGACACACUUUACAUUGCAGAGCUGUUACUCAAACGGGACUGGAGGCUCCUGAGCUGUGCCACACCAGUGUUGGACAUUGCACUUUUUCAUUUCUACCUGGAGGCUUAAAUGAAGAACAGAUUCUGUUUCAGGCAUGUUGCAGAAAAAGAAAGGGGGAGCAGCAGCUUGGGAAGGAGGGUGGGAGAGAAAGAGAGAGAGAGAGAGAUUUUAAGCACAAUUGAGACUCCUGCUUAAUGUAGAAUGUUUUGACAACUGACUAUUUAUUUUGCAUUGUGAUUUAUUUUCCAUUUUUUCAAAUGGACUUUUCUCAACUCUGCAAGUUGCUGACAAUUAUAUUCCUUCAUAUCAUUCAACAACAUAUUCUAUAUUUGUUCAUAUAAUACUACAUCAAAUACAUUCUGUAAUCAGUUUUUUUAAUAUCUGCUUUUAAGCUGCCUGUUAGCAUCUUUGCUGCAAAGUAUUUGUUUUAAGAGUAAAAAUAUAAAUGCCCAUAGAUGCCUUGGCGGUCUGCAAAUAAUCCGCAGCCCAGUACUAAGAUAUUAUAUUUUUGUGUGUUUUGUUUUGUUUAAAAAAUGUAUUUAAUGCAGACGCAAAACACCACACUCAUAAUUUUGCACAGUGUGGCGCUGAGAGGCCUCUUCAAAAUGGCAAGAUUUCAAGACUCAAUUAAAACGCGCCGUAGCCAACGAUGGGGUCCCUCUUAUGAACAAAGAGAGCUCAAGUGUCUCUGCUAUACAUGCACAGGGAUGCAGAUACGCAGGCAAAGUUGCCUUUAGCUAGAGUUGAACUCUUGACUCGUGAGCAAGGUUUGGAUGUAACUUCGUGUGAAGUGUGACUUCACAGGUGUAUUUGUGUGAAUAAUAAGCAAUUAAAGCAUCGAAAUAAAUAAGCUUUUAUUUCCAUAA